This 751-nucleotide ribosomal RNA is filed under the name Priestia megaterium. RNAcentral describes it as "bacterial SSU rRNA". It matches the Rfam family "Bacterial small subunit ribosomal RNA", at positions 39 to 774 of the family's 1533-position model. The record is from RNAcentral. Lineage: Bacteria; Bacillati; Bacillota; Bacilli; Caryophanales; Bacillaceae.
GCGGCGAUCCUAUACAUGCAAGUCGAGCGAACUGAUUAGAAGCUUGCUUCUAUGACGUUAGCGGCGGACGGGUGAGUAACACGUGGGCAACCUGCCUGUAAGACUGGGAUAACUUCGGGAAACCGAAGCUAAUACCGGAUAGGAUCUUCUCCUUCAUGGGAGAUGAUUGAAAGAUGGUUUCGGCUAUCACUUACAGAUGGGCCCGCGGUGCAUUAGCUAGUUGGUGAGGUAACGGCUCACCAAGGCAACGAUGCAUAGCCGACCUGAGAGGGUGAUCGGCCACACUGGGACUGAGACACGGCCCAGACUCCUACGGGAGGCAGCAGUAGGGAAUCUUCCGCAAUGGACGAAAGUCUGACGGAGCAACGCCGCGUGAGUGAUGAAGGCUUUCGGGUCGUAAAACUCUGUUGUUAGGGAAGAACAAGUACAAGAGUAACUGCUUGUACCUUGACGGUACCUAACCAGAAAGCCACGGCUAACUACGUGCCAGCAGCCGCGGUAAUACGUAGGUGGCAAGCGUUAUCCGGAAUUAUUGGGCGUAAAGCGCGCGCAGGCGGUUUCUUAAGUCUGAUGUGAAAGCCCACGGCUCAACCGUGGAGGGUCAUUGGAAACUGGGGAACUUGAGUGCAGAAGAGAAAAGCGGAAUUCCACGUGUAGCGGUGAAAUGCGUAGAGAUGUGGAGGAACACCAGUGGCGAAGGCGGCUUUUUGGUCUGUAACUGACGCUGAGGCGCGUAAUUUCUGACCACGCC